ACUCAAUAGAUACCCAGGUAGUCCCAGCUGUAAACGAUGCAGACUCGGUGAUGGGCUAGCCUUGUGCUAUCCCAGUGCCGCAGGGAAGCCGUUAAGUCUGCCGCCUGGGGAGUACGGUCGCAAGACUGAAACUUAAAGGAAUUGGCGGGGAGCACCACAAGGGGUGAAGCCUGCGGUUCAAUUGGAGUCAACGCCGGGAAUCUUACCGGGGGUCGGACAGCAGAAUGAAGGUCAAGCUGAAGACUUUACUAGACAAGCUGAGAGGAGGUGCAUGGCCGUCGCCAGCUCGUGCCGUGAGGUGUCCUGUUAAGUCAGGUAACGAGCGAGACCCUACCUCUAGUUGCUACUGUUAUUCUCAGGAGUAACAGAGCUAAUUAGAGGGACCGCCGCCGCUGAGGCGGAGGAAGGAGGGGGCUACGGCAGGUCAGUAUGCCCCGGAAACCCGUCGGGCCGACACGCGGGCUGCAAUGGUAAGGACAAUGGUCUCCGAUUCCGAAAGGAGGAGGCAAUCCCUAAACCUUACCGACAGUUAUGAUUGAGGGCU
Molecule: ribosomal RNA, 544 nt
Filed under: uncultured bacterium
Lineage: Bacteria
Description: bacterial SSU rRNA
Rfam family: Archaeal small subunit ribosomal RNA
Source: RNAcentral